CAGUCGCCACGGUAAUACGAAGGGUGCAAGCGUUAAUCGGGAUUACUGGGCGUAAAGCGUGCGUAGGCGGUUUCUUAAGUCUGCUGUGAAAUCCCCGGGCUCAACCUGGGAAUGGCAGUGGAUACUGGGAGGCUAGAGUGUGUCAGAGGAUGGUGGAAUUCCCGGUGUAGCGGUGAAAUGCGUAGAGAUCGGGAGGAACACCAGUGGCGAAGGCGGCCAUCUGGGACAACACUGACGCUGAGGCACGAAAGCGUGGGGAGCAAACAGGAUUAGAUACCCGCGUAGUCCCUGUCUCUUAUAC
Molecule: ribosomal RNA, 301 nt
Filed under: uncultured bacterium
Lineage: Bacteria
Description: partial 16S ribosomal RNA
Rfam family: Bacterial small subunit ribosomal RNA
Source: RNAcentral